RNAcentral lists this ribosomal RNA (484 nucleotides) under uncultured bacterium. RNAcentral describes it as "partial 16S ribosomal RNA". It matches the Rfam family "Bacterial small subunit ribosomal RNA", at positions 30 to 507 of the family's 1533-position model. The record is from RNAcentral.
AUUGAACGCUGGCGGCAGGCCUAACACAUGCAAGUCGAACGGAUGAAGGGGGCUUGCUGCUGGAUUCAGCGGCGGACGGGUGAGUAAUGCCUAGGAAUCUGCCUGGUAGUGGGGGAUAACGUCCGGAAACGGGCGCUGAUACCGCAUACGUCCUGAUGUAGAAAGUGGGGGAGCUUCGGACCUCACGCUAUCAGAUGAGCCUAGGUCGGAUUAGCUAGUUGGUGGGGUAAAGGCCUACCAAGGCGACGAUACGUAACUGGUCUGAGAGGAUGAUCAGUCACACUGGAAGUGAGAAACGGUCGAGACUUCUACGGGAGGCAGCAGUGGGGAAUAUUGGAGGAUGGGGGAAAGGGUGAUCUAGCCAUGCCGCGUGUGUGCAGAAGGUGUUAGGAUUGUAAAGCACUUUAAGUUGGGAGGAAGGGCAGUAAGUUAAUCCCUUGCUGUUUUGACGUUACCAAGAGAAUAAGCCCCGGCUAACUCCGUG